GACGAACGCUGGCGGCGUGCUUAACACAUGCAAGUCGAACGGGAAGGCCCGGCGUUUGUGGUGGGCUCGAGUGUCGCACAGGUGAGUAACACGUGUGUAACCUGCCCUUGACUUUGGGAUAACUUCAGGAAACUGGGGCUAAUACCGGAUAUGAGCUCCUGCUGCAUGGUGGUGGUUGGAAAGUUUCGGCGGUUGGUGCUGGACUCGCGGGUUAUCGGCGUGUUGGUGGGGUAGGGGCUGACCAAGGCUUUGACGGGUAGCCGGCAUGAGAGGGUGAACGGCGCCCUUGGGACUGAGAGACGCAGCAGACUGCAAUGUGCGGCAGUAGUGGGGAAUCUUGCACAAUGGGCGGAAGCGAGAUGAAGAAAUUCCGGGUGCGGGAAGCUGUCCUUCGGGUUGUAAACAGCUUCCGCAUGUGAUGAUGCGUCAGUGACGGUAAUGGGUCAAGAAGCCACGGCUAACUACGUG
This 468-nucleotide ribosomal RNA is filed under the name uncultured bacterium. Its description in RNAcentral is "partial 16S ribosomal RNA". It matches the Rfam family "Bacterial small subunit ribosomal RNA", at positions 28 to 507 of the family's 1533-position model. The record is from RNAcentral.